AGUGAACGCUGGCGGUAGGCCUAACACAUGCAAGUCGAACGGCAGCACAGUAAGAGCUUGCUCUUACGGGUGGCGAGUGGCGGACGGGUGAGGAAUACAUCGGAAUCUACUUUUUCGUAGGGGAUAACGUAGGGAAACUUACGCUAAUACCGCAUACGACCUACGGGUGAAAGCAGGGGAUCUUCAGACCUUGCGCGAUUGAAUGAGCCGAUGUCGGAUUAGCUAGUUGGCGGGGUAAAGGCCCACCAAGGCGACGAUCCGUAGCUGGUCUGAGAGGAUGAUCAGCCACACUGGAACUGAGACACGGUCCAGACUCCUACGGGAGGCAGCAGUGGGGAAUAUUGGACAAUGGGCGCAAGCCUGAUCCAGCCAUACCGCGUGGGUGAAGAAGGCCUUCGGGUUGUAAAGCCCUUUUGUUGGGAAAGAAAAGCAGCAGGUUAAUACCCCGCUGUUCUGACGGUACCCAAAGAAUAAGCACCGGCUAACUUCGUG
This 492-nucleotide ribosomal RNA is filed under the name uncultured bacterium. Its description in RNAcentral is "partial 16S ribosomal RNA". It matches the Rfam family "Bacterial small subunit ribosomal RNA", at positions 29 to 507 of the family's 1533-position model. The record is from RNAcentral.